Molecule: ribosomal RNA, 692 nt
Filed under: uncultured organism
Description: bacterial SSU rRNA
Rfam family: Bacterial small subunit ribosomal RNA
Source: RNAcentral
CGGCGUGGAUUAGGCAUGCAAGUCGAGCGAUCCUUGCUUGAAAUUAACUGGAGUGCUUGCACAAAGGUUAAUGGAUGGCGCUGGAUAGCGGCAAACGGGUGAGUAACACGUGAGUAAUUUUCCCUAAAGUCGAACAUAGCUUCGUGAAAACGGAGGUAAUAUUCGAUAUGGUAUUUAUCACACAUGUGGUUAAUAUUAAAGGUGGGGACCUUCGGGCCUAUCACUUUAGGAUGAACUCGCGGCCUAUCAGCUAGUUGGUAGGGUAAUGGCCUACCAAGGCAUUUGACGGGUAGCCGGCCUGAGAGGGCGACCGGCCACACUGGGACUGAGACACUGCCCAGACUCCUACGGGAGGCUGCAGUCGAGAAUCUUUAGCAAUGGACGAAAGUCUGACUAAGCGACGCCGCGUGCAGGAUGAAGGUUUUCGGAUUGUAAACUGCUUUUGUCAGGAAAGAAACCCUAGAAUUUAACACAUUCUAGGCUGACGGUACCUGACGAAUAAGCCACGGCCAACUCCGUGCCAGCAGCCGCGGUAAUACGGAGGUGGCGAGCGUUACUCGGAAUUAUUGGGUGUAAAGGGCAAGUAGGCGGUCUAUUAAGUGAGAGGUGAAAUCUUCCGACUCAAUCGGAAAACUGCCUUUCAAACUACUAGACUUGAGAUUGGAAGGGGGAAAUGGAAUUAGCGGUGUAAA